AUCCAAAGGGUCCAGCAUACAAAUUUAUAAAGAUGUAGGUAAUAGAUUAAUAUUAUUCUUGACAAUAAUUAAGAUUAAAUCGCAUGUCUUAAGAGGCCAGGAAUGUGAAUGUUCAUCAUGUAAUCCUCCCAAUCAAUACUCUUGGAAUCAAAGUCAAAUACACCCAUAUCAAUGCCUCUCCCUUGAGCCACCAUUCGCAACUUGUCUAAAUUUGUGUCACUAAAGCUGUAUAGGGAGAAAAGAACAUUUAAAACAAUUUGAUUAGUGAUUAAAAAAAUUAAAUUGUUAAGCCAAAUGCAAGAAUUUUGAAGUAAUUAAUAAACACAUGUACAUACUUACUUGCCCUUAAAGAAGGCAUAAGGUUUGUAAAAUUCUGCCAACCGCAUUGCAAACUUGAUUUUGCGAUUAAGGUCCAUGUAAACUUGCCUAAAAUACUGGCAACUAAGGAUGUUCACCAAAUACAAUACCUUUACAAAUUAGAAACAUAAAAAAUAAAUUAUAAUAAGAUAUGGGAAUUUAUUAAUAAAUUAUUCUAAAAAAUUUAAAUAAAUAUUUAUUUUUCUAUUACAUAUAAUCAAGUCGUUAUACUAUUAAUUUGAGUCAAAUAGAUCCUUAUAGUUAGAGAGUAACUAACUGCCAUUAAUCAAAGCGUCACACGUUGUUUUAAGCCACAUGAUGCUGACAUGAAAAAUAACAUAUAAUCAUGCCAUCAUAGUAUAUCAAUAUGUUACGUCAGUAUUUGUUAUGAUGCAUGUCUGUGAUGUCAACAUAAUGUAACAUAAAAUUACAUCUAACGUUUAACUAAUGAUAGUUAGUUAACCAUUAGUUCUAAAAUCUUAUUUGGUCCAAAAUAAAAAUUUAAGUGUUUGAUUGAAUACAAAGUAUAAUAAGUUAUUUGAAUUUAUCUAAAUAGUUCAAAGACUCUUUAGAUAAUAUGCCAAAAUAAAAAUUAAGACUGUGACAAACCUUUAAUAGGAACACAUAUUUAAUCCACAUGUAUAGAAAAAUUCCAUUGACCGUGCUCAAGAGUGUUACUUUACGAACUUUAACUCUUUGUCUGUUUCUAUUAAUCCAUGGAUUUCAGUGAAAUAACAAUAUAAAAAUUUUUAGUGAAAAAAUUUUUAGUGAACUUCAACACGUUAUUUUAGUAUGUCAUGUCAUUAACUGUUAUGACAUGUCAGCAUAUUGUGUCAAUACUAUGUGAUAUAAAAAAACAUGUAAUGUUUUAAAUAAUGACAGUUAAUUAACCAUUAGUUCUAUGGACUUAUUUGACCCGAAACAAAAGCAUAACAGUUUGAAUGAAUGCAAUUAGAAAAAAAAUAAUUGAUUUGAAUUUUUUAAAUAGUUCAGAGUCCUUUUAAAUAUUAUGUCAAAAUAAAAAUUAGGAAUGUAACAAACCUUCAAUGGAAACACAUAUUUAGUCCACAUGUAGAGAAAAUAUCCAUUGAUUGUGCUCAACACUGUGAGUUUACGAACUUUAACUCGUUGUCCGUUUCUAUUAGACCAUGGGUUUUCAGUGAAAUAACAGUGUAUAAAUUUGCAAAAAUCCCCGAGUUUUAAAGGAUUUUUCAAUGAGGAGCUAACAUGGUAAAUGGUCUGACAAGAUUGAUUACUUGUGUGAACUGACAUGGCCACGACCAUUGCAUUUACCACCAUGUCUGCAGGUAUCUGCAUAAAUUUUGAAAUUCACGUUUUUCACUUGCAAUUAGACCCAGCUAUAGGAAGAAAAUGGUAUAUGUUAUCCAGAGAUUAAAAAUUCUCACCACAUCGAGGGCAGAGUUAGGAUAGCCAGGAAAACAUGUUAAUUUCCCCUUGCCAUAACUCACAAUGACGCUAUCUAUAGUUCUGUAGUAACACAAAUAUUAAUGAGUCAUUAUUCCAAAUAUACAAUGUUAAUGAAAGCAAUAAAUUGCAUUAAUGAAAUAUAAUAAUAAUCCUAAAUCAAAUACCAUAAAAAUUUGAAGUUACAAUUUGGUCAUGAUAAUUACCUCACACCUUCAAUCCAGCCAGGGAAGGGUUCUUUAUAAGUGCUUGCAAUCAUGGUAGGGCGGAUAAUGACAAAAGGCAAAUCUCCUUUGAAGUUCCCUAAAAGCAUCUCUCCCAUUGCCUUUGUAAACACGUAUGUGUUAGGCCACCCAUACAAUUUUGCCCUGUAUUCAUAAGAAACAAGGUUUACCACUGUUUUCUUUUUACUUUUUUUUUUUAAAUUUAAGAUAUCGUCCAUACAAUUCAAGGUGAAGUGAAAAUGAUGACGGUGAGAGAGAAACCUUUUGAGGCCGAAUUCCUUCAUUUCUGAUUUUAUUACUUCGUUUGGGGCAUGUUGGAAUCGCAAUUCAUCUAAUUUUUCCUCUACAAUUCUCUUCUCUUCAAUAAUGUCUAAUUUACAUGUUUUCAACAAUGUAUCAUCCACGGAAAAUGGUUUUUCUAAUAUAAUUCCUGCUUCUUCACCGCACACGUAGGCUAAAAGAAAAUUAUGAUAAAAAGCAUGAUUGUCAAUCUUAAUUUAUCUCCGAUAUAUGUUCUGAAUGCACUAAAAUUUAACUAUGUAUAUAACAAAUAUCAACCACUAAUUAAUCAAGAACGAUCAAUUAAUUUCAUAUUUACCAGUUGAUGUGUGGAGAAACAGCUUUAUCUUAUCACAUUUCUUCGCAAAGCUCAAAACGUUAAGAGCUCCAAACGUAUUGAUGGCCAAUGCAACAUCAUAGCUUGAAAAAUAAGAGGAAAGAAGAAAAGAAAAGCGGCGAAUUAUAGGCAAAAUUAUGUUCUUAAGACAUACUCCUACAAUUCAAAUAUGAGGAUUCUAAAUUACCUUUCAUUGAAUCCUGUCGUGGCAGCAACAUGUACUACAAUUUCUAUUUCUUUCAACAUUUGUUCCCUUAAUUUUGAUUCAUUCACCCCCAAGUUUUCGGAAGAAAUAUCGCCAGGCACUGCUAUCACCUUGGUUAAUAUAAAGGAAUCAAAUUCCGAACCCCAAUUGUCUCGAAGAAUCGUAAACAAUUCUGUAUCUAUAAUCUACAUAAAAAUUAAGAUGUGUAAGUUUUUUUUUUUUGUGAAUUUGAAAUUGAAUUUUAUAUCACGUGUAACAAAUUGGAUUGAAAUAAAAAUUUUAAUUUCAAAUUUAGUAUGAAUCAUAUGAUAGAACAGUAGUAAUUACGAAUAUGACUUUCAUGAUUAUCGUAAAAUUGUCUGAAUUAUGGAACUUAAAAUUCAUUAUAUACCUCACUAUGCAGGCGUUUUGUGGCAGAUUUAGCAUCUGCAGCCUUCAAAAGAAGAUAGAGCUUAUUCACAUUUGGUUGAAUCCUUAAUAUCUUCUCGACAAAGACUGAAACCGGAGUUCAGAAUUAAAUGAUUAAGUAAAACUAAAAUGAUUAAUUAUAUUGUGUUUUAAAUGAAAUCAUCAUCCUUGGCUUCGUAAGAGAGAGAGAGAGUACUCUUUGCCAAAAAUCCAGUUGCACCAGUGACUAAAAUAGUUUUGCCUUGAAGAAACUUGACAACAUGAUCCAACUCCAUAUUCAUGUCUGAGAACCCAAAAAGAAAUCAAAUAAAAGAAGUAACUUUUUUAUAAUAUUUAUUGGAAUAAAAUUGGGUAAAAUUCAAUAUUUGAUAGAAGAAAAGAUAAGAUAAAUGUAUGCUUCCCAACAUCUAAAUUGCAAUGUUUAAUGAUAAUUUGGAAGUAUUGAAAAUAAUAGUAAUUAAAGUUGAAAAAUAAUAUAACAUGUGGCAUCACCUUGAUUUUGGAAUUUCUUUUCCCCUGUUUUUUUUUUCUCUUGUUCUUUUGCCUGUUCUUCCUCUUCGUCUUUAUGUGAGUUCUAAAAGGUAUUUAUAGGGGAGAACCAGAGCUGUCGAUGGAAGGGGAAAACCCCCAUUUUGGUGCCCUUAGGCCACAGCUUUUGUGCAGUGAAUGAGUUAUGGCAUUGAUAGAGGAGAACCAGAGCUGUUGAUGGUAGUGGAAAACCCCCAUUUUGGUGCCCUUAGGCCAAAGCUAUUGGUGGUCCUAUUUCGUGUAUCAUAUCCCAUCUUAAUUGAAUGUGAAUAUGAUUGUUAACACCUUUAUAAGACUUUAGGUUAAUCACUAUUAGUAAAUUAUGUUUAAACUUUUAAAAAUUAUGUAAUUUAGAUCCGAAAAAUUACUAGACUGGUGAUGUUUGCAUCAGGAUCAUUACACUAUGUGGUUCGGAGUAUGCAUGUUAGAUUACAGCUAACUGAGGGCAGAAGCUGGAAGCAGGAUUAACGACCUAAAUGAGGAAGGCAAAGGAGAGACGUGUCAAGGUCAAGGAUGGAUUAGUAGGAGGGAUACCUUCCAUCUCUGCUCUCCUCAAACACUUAUAUUUGCUUUAAAAUGAUAUGGAAUGUGGACAAAUAAAUAUUUUUUUAGUACAAAAAAAAAAGAAUAGAAGGUAUGUUUGAGAUUUCACUUAAUGACAAUUAAGUGAUUUGGUGUAGCAUUGCUGUAAUGAUCUACAAUAAGGGAUUGAUAAUUUCACACCUAUUGAGGAGAAAUUUAUAUGCUGGUGGAGAAAUUAUCAGUUUGAUUGCUGUUGAUGUUGGGAGGGUUGGAGAGUUUAACUGGUGUUUACAUGGUCUACGGAUGGCCCUUUUGCAAGUUGUACGGAAAUCUUGGUUUUUCCUAACUUGUGGCUUUUGCUGCAACAGUCUUGCUAAUUAAUGCUUGCAAAGCUUCCAUUAGGCAAAUUGCAAUGGAAGCUUCAGGACAAAUUGAUGGAUUCAAAAGGUAAAAAGAAUGAAGGCAACAUCUAAGGUUUUAAAGAAUAUGAGAAUUCUGAAGCUUCAGGGAUGGGAAACGAUGUUCAAUUUGAAUUCAAAAGAAGAAUUUUAAUUUCAUAUUACAAAUUAACAUGAUUUUCAUGAUUAUCAUCAAAUUGUCUGAAUCAUGUUAACGAAGUGCGGAACUUAAAAUUCAUUAUAUAUCUCAGUAUGCAAGCAUUUUGUGAGAGAUUUAAUAUCUGCAGCCCCUACAGAAGACAACUUAUUCACCAUUUGGUUGAAUCCUUAAUUAAUAUUACUCUUUGCCAAAAAUCCAGUUGCACCAGUGAUUAACAUAGUCUUGCCUGGAAGAAACUUGACAACGUUAUCCAACUCUAUAUGCAUGUAUGAGAAUCCAGAAAGAAAUCAAAUUAAAAAAAGUAAUUUAUUUAUUGUAUAUAUUGGAAUAAAAUUGGGUAAAUUUGAAUAAUUUAAUAGAGAAAAGAUCAGAUAUAUAUCCUUCCCAACACUUCACCAAGAAAUUGCAAUGUUUAAUGAUAAUUUGGAAGUAUUGAAAAUAAUAUUAAUUAGUGACUUGAAAAAUAAGAUAACAUGUGGACACCAACUUGAUUUUGGAAUUUCUUUUCCCUUGUUUUUUAUUUUCUUGUUCUUUAACCUGUUUUCCUCAUUUUGCGAAUUUGAGUUUAAGAGGUAUUUAUAGGGGAGAACCUGAGCUGUUGAUGGUUCUUGUCAAAAAUACCUCUCAUACAUAAUGUGCUUUUUUAAAAUAGCUCUCUCUAUAAUUUUAACUAUUUUUAGUCAAGAGAAAUUACUUUUGGACUAAAUUACCUUUAAUGAAACAAACCCAUAUGUUUAGGUCUGCGCCUCAAACUGACUCAUAUCCUUUGAUCUUUCCUCAUCAGACCAUUUAUCUCUGGAGUAUUUCUUACCAGAAAGAAAAACUUUUAAGCAUUUUGAGUAUUUUAGAGUGAUUUUUGAUAUACGUAGAAAACUUUUGAGCGUUUUGAGUAUUUUUAAGCAUUUGGAGUCGUUUUUGAUACAUAAAGAAAAACCUUUGAGCAUUUUAAGCAUUCUUCGACAAGUACGCAUAUUCGUUGAUUAUAUUGUUAAAUAGAAUAUGGUAUAUUAUUUGAAGUUGUUGAUUUUGUUAAAUGAAAUUCAGUAAUUUUGGUGAUUUUUAGGCCUUGGGUAACCGAUAUUUGUGCAUUGCGUGACUAGUUUUUAGGCAUUGCAUUACUAAUUUUUAGGCAUUGCAGGAUUGAUUUUUAAGUAUUAUGUGACUAGUUGAUAUGACAUUACCUAACAGAUUGAUAGACAUUGCGUGACUGGUUAGUAAGGCGUUGCAUAACUAGUUAGGAAGACCUUGUGUGACUUAGGCAUUGCCUAAAAAUCAGUCGCAUAAUACCUAAAAAUCAAUCACACAAUGCCAAAAACCAAUCACGUAAUGCCUGAAUAUUAGAGACGUAAUGAUUAAGGCAUGCAAUGCCUAAAAACUAGUCUUACAAUACCUAAAAGCUAGUAAAGCAAUACCUAAUAACUAAUUGAUUUACUUGCUCGCAGUCAGGUUUAAGUUGCCAAAGUCAUACAGUAUUCUAAUUUUUUUUUUUUAUAAUUGGGGGAGAGGGGAUUCGAACCCUGCUCUUUAAGCAAGGCGAUAAUGCACCAACCAAUGAGCCAAAUGCUCUUGAGUCAUACAAUGUUCUAAUUUAUAGAUAUAUCUAAUCAAUUUCAACCCCCUCAACUAUGGGGUUCUAUGAAUAAAUCAAUAAACCCAAUAACUUAAAACACAUACCUUGAUAUCAUCUCUGCACUUUGGGGUGGCAAGAAAGAGCUGGACGACGAGAUAGACAGUAUUUGCCAAGAGAGAGAAAUCGGGAUUUGAUUUUGAAAUUUUUGUCUGGAUGGUGACAUAAAGAAAACUGAAACCAUUUUAAUUUGUCUGAAAUUAUUUAAAGGGCAUUGUUAUCAAGUCAUGUCAAAAAUUGACUAAAAAUAGUUAAAAUUAUAAUGAAGGAUAUUUUUGAAUUACGUUUAUGAGAAGGAUUAUUUCUCAUAAUUUUCUCUAGUAGAAAACACCCCAUUUUGGUGCCCUUAGGCCACUACUUUUGAGCAAUGAAUGAAGUUAUGGCAACCGAUGGUCCUAUUUCAUGUAAUGGCCUUUCCUUUCUGAAAUUGGGUACUUCAAUCCGAACAUAAAGUUAGGUUUAGUUUCUACCAAAUUUAGGGGCAUGCUAGAGGGAAGCCCCAGCCGAAAGAAUGUGGAGGUGGAUUCCAAUGGGUUUGUUAAGCAGGUGCAGACAUUGCUAUCAGUUUGUCCAGUUUGGCUCUCAGAGUCAAAAAAGGUUGCUCUCUAACAAUCCCUAUCAAGGUCUUAGACUGAACCCCACAAGAAAUAUUUGGUCUUUAAUUACUUGGGGUAAGAAAACAAACAAAAAUUCAGACUAUGAAUUCUUUAUUUUACUUUGAAGCAAAGAUAAAAUGAUGAAGUAUCAACUACACAAAUAAAUGAAGAACUAUCAAAGCAAUAACAUCUGUUAUUGGUCACAACGAAAGUAAUGCAAGUAUUCUCCUUCUUUCCUCAUCCGUUAAGUUGUUCAAAGCUUGAUGCCCACUACUUCGUUUUUUUUUUAAGAUUUGAAGAAGGAGAUUCAAACUUUACUCUUCAAAUAGGAAGAUUAUACAUCAGCUAAUGAAUCAAAUAUUCGUGUGUGCCUUCUAUGUAAAUUUUAUUCAAUUAAUUUUAUUUUUUAAUAAUAAUUAAGAUUUAAUCCAUGUCUUAAGACGCCAGGAAUGUGAAUGUUCAUCAUGUAAUCCUUCCAAUCAAUACUCUUGGAAUCGAAGUCAAAUACACCCAUAUCAAUGCCUCUCCCUUGAGCCACCAUUCGCAACUUGUCUAAAUUUGUGUCACUAAAGCUGUAUAGGGAGAAAAGAACAUUUAAAACAAUU
Molecule: long non-coding RNA, 7671 nt
Filed under: Theobroma cacao (cacao)
Lineage: Eukaryota; Viridiplantae; Streptophyta; Magnoliopsida; Malvales; Malvaceae
Description: long non-coding RNA (TCAC_LNC004143)
Source: RNAcentral